UGUCAAACACAGAAAUAUACUUGGUCUACACUGGAAAAGGAAAAAAGAACAUGUUGUCACCCAUACCUGAUAGGGGAGACGCUAUUAUGCAAACCCGUUAACCGAGAGGGUCAAGCUGAAUGAGGUUUUGCCUGUUGGAACUGGUAUAUGCAAAAGAUGUAUAGAAACACACUUUAAAAAAUCAGUAUGGAAGUAAAGCUGAAGGAAGAGCUUAAAGCAGAAAUGUGUUCCUAUUGACAAGGCAACAAUUGAAUCAAACCAAACAGAGCAAAGAGUGGAGGAAAAUGGAAGAAGUCAUGGACUUAACAGAAAACAUAUGACCUAAUACCUGCA
This is a long non-coding RNA of Saccostrea echinata, 333 nucleotides long. RefSeq lists it as uncharacterized. The transcript is spliced from 4 exons. NCBI's taxonomy places the organism in Eukaryota, Metazoa, Mollusca, Bivalvia, Ostreida, Ostreidae. The record is from RefSeq and is a predicted model, not a curated record.